RNAcentral lists this ribosomal RNA (862 nucleotides) under Rivularia sp. GKY4. RNAcentral's name for it is "bacterial SSU rRNA". It matches the Rfam family "Bacterial small subunit ribosomal RNA", at positions 34 to 939 of the family's 1533-position model. The record is from RNAcentral. Lineage: Bacteria; Bacillati; Cyanobacteriota; Cyanophyceae; Nostocales; Rivulariaceae.
CACCUUGCGGCAUGCUUAACACAUGCAAGUCGAACGGUCUCUUCGGAGAUAGUGGCGGACGGGUGAGUAACGCGUGAGAAUCUGCCUCUAGGUUUGGGACAACAGUUGGAAACGGCUGCUAAUACCAGAUGUGCCCUGGAAGGUGAAAGAUAAAUUGCCUAGAAAUGAGCUCGCGUCAGAUUAGCUAGUAGGUAGUGUAAAGGACUACCUAGGCGACGAUCUGUAGCUGGUCUGAGAGGACGAUCAGCCACACUGGAACUGAGACACGGUCCAGACUCCUACGGGAGGCAGCAGUGGGGAAUUUUCCGCAAUGGGCGAAAGCCUGACGGAGCAAUACCGCGUGAGGGACGAAGGCUUUUGGGUCGUAAACCUCUUUUCUCAAGGAAGAUAAUGACGGUACUUGAGGAAUAAGCAUCGGCUAACUCUGUGCCAGCAGCCGCGGUAAUACAGAGGAUGCAAGCGUUAUCCGGAAUGAUUGGGCGUAAAGCGUCCGCAGGUGGUUUGAUAAGUCUGCUGUUAAAGCGUUAGGCUCAACCUAAUAAGGGCAGUGGAAACUAUUAGACUAGAGUACGUUCGGGGCAGAGGGAAUUCCCAGUGUAGCGGGGAAAUGCGUAGAGAUUGGGAAGAACACCGGUGGCGAAAGCGCUCUGCUAGGCCUGUACUGACACUGAGGGACGAAAGCUAGGGGAGCGAAUGGGAUUAGAUACCCCAGUAGUCCUAGCCGUAAACGAUGGAUACUAGGCGUUGCCCGUAUCGACCCGGGCAUUGUCGUAGCUAACGCGUUAAGUAUCCCGCCUGGGGAGUACGCACGCAGGUGUGAAACUCAAAGGAAUUGACGGGGGCCCGCACAAGCGGUGGAGUA